GACAGAGGGUGCAAACGUUGUUCGGAAUUACUGGGCGUAAAGCGCGUGUAGGCUGCUUCGCAAGUCGGGUGUGAAAGCCCUGGGCUCAACCUAGGAAGUGCACUCGAAACUGCGGAGCUGGAGUCCUGGAGAGGAAGGCGGAAUUCUCGGUGUAGAGGUGAAAUUCGUAGAUAUCGAGAGGAACACCGGUGGCGAAGGCGGCCUUCUGGACAGUGACUGACGCUGAGACGCGAAAGCGUGGGGAGCAAACAGG
RNAcentral lists this ribosomal RNA (253 nucleotides) under uncultured bacterium. Its description in RNAcentral is "partial 16S ribosomal RNA". It matches the Rfam family "Bacterial small subunit ribosomal RNA", at positions 524 to 776 of the family's 1533-position model. The record is from RNAcentral.